This 115-nucleotide ribosomal RNA is filed under the name Cavia aperea (Brazilian guinea pig). Lineage: Eukaryota; Metazoa; Chordata; Mammalia; Rodentia; Caviidae. The record is from RNAcentral.
AGUCUAGGCCAUACCACCCUGAACGCGCCGAUCUCGUCUGAUCUCGGAAGCUAAGCAGGGUCGGGCCUGGUUAGUACUUGGAUGGGAGAAGUAAAAUGAGACCCAAUUAAGGCUU